This 459-nucleotide ribosomal RNA is filed under the name uncultured bacterium. Its description in RNAcentral is "partial 16S ribosomal RNA". It matches the Rfam family "Bacterial small subunit ribosomal RNA", at positions 338 to 795 of the family's 1533-position model. The record is from RNAcentral.
CCUACGGGUGGCAGCAGUGAGGAAUAUUGGUCAAUGGGAGAGAUCCUGAACCAACCAAGCCGCGUGAGGGAAGACGGCCCUAUGGGUUGUAAACCUCUUUUGUCGGGGAACAAAACCCGGGACGUGUCCCGGACUGCGUGUAUCCGAAGAAAAAGCAUCGGCUAACUCCGUGCCGGCAGCCUCGGUAAGACGGAGGAUGCGAGCGUUAUCCGGAUUUAUUGGGUUUAAAGGGUGCGUAGGCGGUCCGUUAAGUCGGCGGUAAAAGUGCGGGGCUAAACCCCGAAGAGCAGUUGAAACUGGAAGACGUGAGUUGGCGAGAAGUACGCGGAAUGCGCGGUGUAGCGGUGAAAUGCAUAGAUAUCGCGCAGAACUCCGAUUGCGAAGGCAGCGUACCGGCGCCAGACUGACGCUGAGGCACGAAAGCGUGGGGAUCGAACAGGAUUAGAUACCCGGGUAGUC